RNAcentral lists this long non-coding RNA (206 nucleotides) under Mytilus galloprovincialis (Mediterranean mussel). The record is from RNAcentral. Lineage: Eukaryota; Metazoa; Mollusca; Bivalvia; Mytilida; Mytilidae.
UUGCUUUCAAACAUACGUUUGCAAAGUUUACAUAAACUUUGACAAACUAUGCAAACGCUAAAAAUGCGUCUGCAGUUUGUCGUUUGUUAGUACAAACGCUGCAUUUGUUUCUAACUUCAACCUGAUUAAACGAAGUAUUUGUUUCUACGUUUGUAAAAAGUCUGAUUACCAACAACAUGUGCAUGCAUUAUUGAAAAUUCAAACAG